Molecule: long non-coding RNA, 207 nt
Filed under: Zostera marina
Lineage: Eukaryota; Viridiplantae; Streptophyta; Magnoliopsida; Alismatales; Zosteraceae
Description: long non-coding RNA (ZMAR_LNC001866)
Source: RNAcentral
AACUUAUUCCUUGGUCUAUUCCUUUCGGUGAUACUAGCCUUUCGCGUGACGAGGGUUCCCGGCAGAAACACUUUUUUGCGUACUUGGCGAUUGUGGUAUCGUGAUACGCUGGCCUUGUACGAUUCGUUCCGCAGGUCUGCCUCGUCGCGGGUUUCAUCCCUCAACUCUAGCUCUGUAGCUAGGUUUUGGUCAUUGUUUAGCUCGUCG